CAUCGCGUUCUCUUCCCAAGUUGGUUUUCUGGUGGAAAAAAAUUGUAGGUCAGUCAAACGCGAUCUAUCUCUAUCGCUCCCGAACCCACCUCUUCCCCUUCCGAUCUGGUCGCCGCCGAAUCUGGCGUCGCCCCCCACCCCCCACCCCCGCGCUCGGUUCCCGUCCAGAACCUGCCACCUACGACGGAGCGAGGCCGCCGAAGCCGGCGACAAAAGGAUUCGAAGCAGCCGGCCGGAGCUACUUUGACUUCGACGUUGAGGAGGGCGUCGGCCUCAGCUCCUGGCCUCCCAGGGCCCGCCGCCGCUGGGCUCGUACAUGGUCAGGUGCGGGCGACUCGGAGAGGAGCUUUGGCCGUAAGGACUAUACAGCUUAGUUUCUCCUGGGAUCACGUUCUCCGGACGUCCAUUGAGUUUCCGAGCAAAGUCCGGGCCUCCAGGUUUAUCUACACAUCCACGUAAUAAGGCAACUGUGUAACAAUUAUCAAGCCUGGUUGAGAAGAAGAGAAUGCAAAAGAUCAAUUUAUCUUCAUGAGUAGGAAAGUAUUAAUCAAUCUCUAAAUAAAGUAAUGAGAUCAAUUCCUCAGAAUGCAGGCCGAGGCUGCUAGCUUGUACAUGGAUUCCUAGAUGCCGUACUAAUGAAGAAGAUAGCAAGCCGUCGAUUGCUGCAACAGGGCGGCAGGGAAGAUCCAAGUCAGCCGACGGUUGUCAAGGCAACAGUAACCUUCUAAAGGACCUUCCUAUAGUCUCCUGCCAAUGCCGGAUUAGAUCGAGGUCGCGGUGGAUUGGGUGAAUCGCGCGUACCUAGGUAUAGCCUCAUGACGCGAGGAGAACUCGUCACACUCGGCAGCGCCAAGCAGCGGUCCAAAACAUAUUAAAGUUCCAUGGAUCAAGAAGGCACGGCAGACGAAGAAAGGUGACGGGCAUGGGGAACGCGACGAUGGAGAGCUUGACGAGGAAGCCCGUCCACCACCGACGCCAGAGCCAGCAGGACGUAACCCCCGACAAGGCGUGUUGCCGGGGGAAGGAGGAGGUGGAGCAGAUGAUGGUGCUGCCACUGAUGGUAAGCUGGAGUCGGAGUCGUCGUCCUCCCGCCCGCUGCCUCGUCAUCGCUGGCGUUGUCCUCCUCGCCACUGUCGUUCGAGGAGGAGCUUUCGUCGUUAGUGGAACUCUCCACGCAGCACCCUAAGCGGAUUCCUGAGCUCCCGAAGACCUUGACGGAGAGCAGGCUGUUCUCCAUUAACUUAAAAUGGAGAACGUGCCCCUCCGACAAGCUGUGGGCACGUGCAAAAGUUUUCCACCCACAGCAGAGCUACAUGACGUGAGGGAGCGGGAAGCCAACAUUGACCCAUGUGCUACCAUUCCCGCAGCCCCUCAGGUGUAGCCUGAAAGCCUGCAGCGGAUCCUGCUCCAUCACCCAUGCAAACGGGGUAGGGAGACGGAGAUGGCCGUCACGCGCUUGUACAAGCGGAUGAAGAACUCGAGGGGCUGGUCUCCGUCAUGGCCGUCCAUUGGAGGAGGGGCCGCCAGCGAAAGCGCAGCCGGCGCGCCGCCCCGUCCUCCUCUUCCCCAAGCACCAUGGUAACCUCGGCCCCGUCCAUGUCCUCUCCCCCUUGCAGUGGGCUCUGCCACCAGAAGCUUCAGGGGAGGAGGGGCAUGCUGUCGAGAAGAAGCCCUCGUCACCGCUGUCGAAGCACCGGUGCACCCUCUCACCAUGGCGAAUGGAAGAAAGAUGUCAAGCAGAAGGAGGAGAGAAGGACGAGUGUGGAGAAGCACCAUCCCUCUCCCUUUUUAUAGAAGAGCAAGGCCAGGGCCUGGCCACCCAACCCAAAGGGUGGCCGCCCCACACGACCAAUGCGGCCUCCUGAAGCACGGGGAAUCAGAACCGACCCGCUCCCCAAUCAACAAACGCCUGGUUUCCUGCCUCGGCGUUAAUGCCCACGUCCUCGCAUCCAUCGCCUGCCCUUCCCAAGGCAUGGAGGAUACGUGGCAGAGCGAGAGGGGGCGUGAGGAUAGGCAGGAUGACCAUUUUCCACCUCGUGAUCGUGGGGUGCAGCGCCAUGCAGGCUGUGACCCGAGUCCACUUAGUAAGCCCCUGCAUAUUCCUUCUUUUAAAAAAAGGGAGGCACGGACCGCCUCUUUACUAUCGACUGCGAGAUGACGCAAGCACGCUGAGGCCAUCCCACGCACGACCCCCACGUCACGCACUCGACGCGGAUUGUGGGGAAGCGCAACUGGCAAGAAGAUCAUGGAAGAUUAAGCCUCUACCACGCGUGCCCGCGCACUGCGUUGGGCCUGGCCCAACUACCCCUCGCGCGCACGUGUGGCCCAGGCCCGGGGCUCCCAUCGGUGUACAAAAGUACGGAAUCUUUUGUACCCCUUACUUGUGCACGAGCAAUUGUAGCCACGCCUAUGGCCGGGCCCGGUAGGGCAGCAGAAGACAAAACACGAAGACUACCAAGACAGAUACUUGAAGCACAAGGAGCAGAGGGCAAGCUGGACCUCCCCCGGCAACACCCUUGCUAGGGUGACCUGCGCAAUACCAGCUAGCCCAUCACCCUUGAGGCUGAGAGCUCAGACACCAUCGACAACGUUAAGACCAUGAUCUGAGAACGCAUGCUUGGUAAGCAUGCAGAUCCUCAUAAAGAUUGACAACCCACGGGUCCACGUGGGACCAGAAGACAAAGACCCCCGGCAAGACCCUUGCCGGGGACGACUCCAAGGCCCCAGGCAAGCCUUGCCGGGGAUGAUCGCUGGGCCGCGGCUAGACCCGCGCCCGGCAAGGGCUCGCCACCUUACCACUACUCCAGUGCGACGAUUGGCGUGUCAACUAAGCAAACGCCUGCGUGGCAGCAUGUAGAUCUUCGUGGAAGCUUUACCAUUGUGCCAAACACAGCAACUAGUUAGCCAGGGUGGCACCGCAUGCCUCGUCAGCCUGGACGCGUGUCGAAGGAAGGAAGAGCGGCGACAGACAAGAUGGCUUCUGUUGCCAUCCCCAAUAAAGGAAGAAGGCACAUAGGCAGCACAUUAAAUGCGUUUGUCCUGCGGUGCCGAGUGAUAAGCUCAUACACUAUAGCUUGCCACCUCCUGUGUGCCAUUGUGGCAACCCCUUUAUGUAUAAAAGGAGGCCCAAAGCAUACAGAGAGAGGAUUCAGACUUUUGGACCGUGCAUGCAUCGUAGCUAUUUCAAAAGCUCAAGAACACAUAUAUCCAGACAAGCAGGACUAGGGUAUUACGCAUCUCUACGACCCGAACCUGGGUAAAACCCUGUGUGCUAACGGCUCGACCUGCUCUUCGUGCAGCUAAUCCCCCGCCAAACAUAGAAGGGAUCCUUGUGACCCAUAGGUGUUCUUUUUCCCCAACACUGUCAAUCACUAUCUUAUCUGGAAGAUUAAUUCCCACUUGAUUCAAGCGAUUGUAGUACCCAGGCAUUCAGAGCACAUGCUCACUAGCUGAGCUAUUCUCCUCCAUCUUGUAGGCAAAGUACUUGU
This is a long non-coding RNA of Triticum aestivum (bread wheat), 3488 nucleotides long. RefSeq lists it as uncharacterized. NCBI's taxonomy places the organism in Eukaryota, Viridiplantae, Streptophyta, Magnoliopsida, Poales, Poaceae. The transcript has 3 exons. The record is from RefSeq and is a predicted model, not a curated record.